GGGUACUUGAUCCUUUAGUGCGCAGCUAACGCGAUAAGCUGUCCGCUGGGGAGUACGGUCGCAAGAUUAAAACUCAAAUGAAUUGACGGGGGCCCGCACAAGCGGUGGAGCAUGUGGUUUAAUUCGAAGCAACGCGAAGAACCUUACCUACUCUUGACAUCCUGCGACAUCCGUAGAGAUACGUUGGUGCCUUCGGGAACGCAGUGACAGGUGGUGCAUGGCUGUCGUCAGCUCGUGUUGUGAAAUGUUGGGUUAAGUCCCGUAACGAGCGCAACCCCUAUCCUUAUUUGCCAGCACUUCGGGUGGCAACUUUAAGGAGACUCCCGGUGCCAAACCGGAGGAAGGUGGGGAGGACGUCAAUUCUUCAUGGCCCUUACGCGUAGGGUUCCACACGUGUUCCAAUGGCCGGUCCAGAGGGCCGGGAACUCCAGAGGGUAAGCUAUUCUCAGAAAACCGUUUCUAGUCCGGAUCCCAUUUUGCAAUUGGAUUGCGUGAAGUGGGAUUCGUUAGUAAUCGGGAAUCACAAUGUCGCGGUGAAUACGUUC
Molecule: ribosomal RNA, 545 nt
Filed under: Marinobacterium sediminicola
Lineage: Bacteria; Pseudomonadati; Pseudomonadota; Gammaproteobacteria; Oceanospirillales; Oceanospirillaceae
Description: bacterial SSU rRNA
Rfam family: Bacterial small subunit ribosomal RNA
Source: RNAcentral